AACAGAAACAUGUAUGCCCAAUGGCAGAGUGAGCAGGUUUAUGGCUGUGAAGUUCUGCCUAUAGGUUAAACAGCGAGCAUAGUGGUGUGUCCUGUGUUUACCUAUUGGCACAAUGUUAUUUUCCAUACACAGGUAUGAUGGGUCCUAGACGGCGUACGGACAACCAGGAGAGCCCACGCAUGCUGAUGAAAGACGAAGCCUUCCCUCAGUGACCAACUGUCAGGAACAUUAUUUCAGAGCCCACCAGGCUCCUUUGGUUUUUCAAUGGACCGUUACACAUGUGUUAGACUGUUACUGUGUUUAUUAGGUAGCAAACAGGACAAAACCCGACUCAAACAGAAGGGAGUGGUUGAACCUCUCCAACAUCAAAUGCUUGUUUUUGGUUUCUGUUGCGAAACGAUUUAAAACUGUUUGUUACAUUGUGCCCUAAUGAACACAACAUAUUGAAGCAGUUUUAUUUAUUUUUUCCUUCACAUAAUCAUUACACAAAUAUUUUUUUCAAAAAAAUAUACAAAAUUUUAUUAAUGUCUUGCUCAAUCCACAGACAAAGAGAGCAAACAGUGCAGUGGCUAGGCAGAAGCAGUUGAAGUGAGCAGAGCAAAAAAUAUUGAGGACCAUUUAAUUAGACUCAAUUUCAAUACAAACUUUUUAAAAUUUCUUUGUACAAUAACAUGUACAAUAAGUCACAUCUCUGAAUCAUGAUCAAUAGUUUGUGGUUACAUUUUUAUUACAUGAACCCAGUCAAAAUCAUGACUACUCUCUUAUGAGAUUGAGGUCAGAUUAUCACUCAUCACUUGACAUAUAGUCCCUACCUGUGGAAAUGGUUUGUGUUACAAAUAUUUUUUUAUUCAAUGCACCAAAAAAAGAACAGAACUAGAAUCAUACGGAUAUAAGUUGAAAAGUAGGUUUUGAAAAACAGGCCACAAACUCCUCAUCACUUACAGGUAAAUGUUUCAUUUUUGAUGGGUUGUUACUGUAGUUAGGCUUGUUUUCUAGCACACAAACGUGUAUAUGUAUCGUGUUUACAUUGUGAAGGGUGAUGUGUGUCUGUUUUGUGAUAGUGUAAAUAUUUGAAUAGUUUGAAUUGCUGCUAUCAUGCUCUGUGUUUAUCUGUCAAGUAAUAAAUGAUUGUUCUCUG
Molecule: long non-coding RNA, 1138 nt
Organism: Esox lucius (northern pike)
Lineage: Eukaryota; Metazoa; Chordata; Actinopteri; Esociformes; Esocidae
Source: Ensembl